Molecule: ribosomal RNA, 440 nt
Filed under: uncultured bacterium
Lineage: Bacteria
Description: partial 16S ribosomal RNA
Rfam family: Bacterial small subunit ribosomal RNA
Source: RNAcentral
CCUACGGGAGGCAGCAGUGGGGAAUAUUGCACAAUGGGGGAAAGCCUGAUGCAGCGACGCCGCGUGAGUGAAGAAGUAUUUCGGUAUGUAAAGCUCUAUUAGCAGGGAAGAAAAUGACGGUACCUGAUUAAGAAGCCCCGGCUAACUACGUGCCAGCAGCCGCGGUAAUACGUAGGGGGCAAGCGGUAUCCGGAUCUAAGGGGUGAAAAGGGAGCGUAGACGGCAGCACAAGUCUGGUGUGAAAUGCCGGGGCUUAACCCCGGAACGGCUUUGGAAACUGUGCGGCUUGAGUGCAGGAGAGGUAAGUGGAAUUCCUAGUGUAGCGGUGAAAUGCGUAGAUAUUAGGAGGAACACCAGUGGCGAAGGCGGCUUACUGGACUGUAACUGACGUUGAGGCGCGAAAGCGUGGGGAGCAAACAGGAUUAGAUACCCGAGUAGUC